UACUUACAAAGAUUAACACAAUAUAUCUGAUCACUUUUACCACGUAAUCUUUGAUUAGAAAAAAAUGCCUACUGCUAGCCUAGGCAUUCCUGCUCGUCAAAGAAAUGCUUUCAUUAGUGCCGUGCAGGUCCCUUUCAUUAGUGAGGUGGUUGGCGCAGAUGGGGAGGUACAACGUGACUGCCGCUGUCAUGGGUGUUUUGGUUGUUGUGACAACGUAAAAGCAUUGUGGGAAUUACUUGUGGAGAAAAUCAAAGAAUUGUUCUCAUGUUUUGGAUCAUGUUGUGGUAAGUGCUGUUGUUGUUGUCAUGGUGAUUGAUGAACCUGUUGGAGUAGUGCCACAUUGUCAAGGCAACUCGAGUUUGUGUGCUCUCGCAUUACUCCAAAUCCGCAGUUUGUUUGUUUGUUUAAUUUGUUUUGCUGUUUUCGGAAAUAAUUUGUUAUCUCGAUGUGACCUGUCUAGUCCACGGGUAUAGAGGUAACAAUGGCUGAAGUAAUCGCUUUUCUUAGGGGAUUGGAUUGUUUUUUUUAUGGCAUUUAUGGAAUACCUUUACCAAUAAUGUCCGUUUUUCUACCACAGUGACCUUUUUGUACAUGUAUUCGCCUGGAUAUUUUGAAUCAAUAAUAACGAUUGAAUAUUA
Molecule: long non-coding RNA, 638 nt
Organism: Papaver somniferum (opium poppy)
Lineage: Eukaryota; Viridiplantae; Streptophyta; Magnoliopsida; Ranunculales; Papaveraceae
Exons: 2
Source: RefSeq, a predicted model, not a curated record